UUAACUUCGUAUAUUCACAAGUGUCUGC
Molecule: small RNA, 28 nt
Filed under: Bombyx mori (domestic silkworm)
Lineage: Eukaryota; Metazoa; Arthropoda; Insecta; Lepidoptera; Bombycidae
Description: ovarian small RNA-36345
Source: RNAcentral